CGUACUGCCCGGCCGCUGCCACCCUACUGCCAAGAUGGCGACCCACAGGAGCUGCGCUCUAUGGAGCUACUGCGGUCGUAGGUGGUCGCGGCUGAUGCGGUGCUGCCGGCUCCCCGGGUUUCGUAGCUCCUGGCCCAGGGGCCCGCUGGGUGCGCGGCACUUGUCCCAAGAGAAGCAGGCAACGGAAACACAUUUCGGGUUUGAGACUGUGUCGGAGAAGGAGAAGGGGGGCAAAGUCUAUCAUGUGUUUGAAAGUGUGGCCAAGAAGUAUGAUGUGAUGAAUGAUAUGAUGAGUCUUGGUAUCCAUCGUAUUUGGAAGGAUUUGCUGCUCUGGAAGAUGCACCCGUUUCCUGGGACCCAGCUGCUCGAUGUUGCUGGAGGCACAGGUGACAUUGCAUUCCGGUUCCUUAAUUAUGUCCAGGCACAGCAUAAGAGAAAGCAGAAGAGGCAGUUACGGGCCCAGCAAAAUGUAUCCUGGGAAGAAAUUGCCAAAAAGUACCAAAAUGAAGAGGACCCCUUGGGCGGUUCCCGGGUAGUGGUCUGUGACAUCAACAAGGAGAUGCUAAAGAUUGGAAAGCAGAAAGCCCGUGCUCAAGGACACAAAGCUGGACUUGCUUGGGUAUUGGGAGAUGCUGAAGAGCUGCCCUUUGAUGAUGACAAGUUUGAUGUUUACACUAUUGCCUUUGGGAUCCGAAAUGUCACACACAUUGAUCAGGCACUCCAGGAAGCCCAUCGAGUCCUGAAACCCGGAGGUCGGUUUCUCUGUCUGGAGUUUAGUCAAGUCAACAAUCCUCUCAUAUCCAGGCUUUAUGAUCUAUAUAGCUUCCAGGUCAUUCCUGUCCUGGGAGAGGUCAUCGCUGGAGAUUGGAAGUCCUACCAAUAUCUUGUAGAAAGUAUCCGACAGUUCCCAUCUCAGGAGGAGUUCAAAGAGAUGAUAGAAGAUGCAGGUUUUGAGAAGGUGACUUAUGAAAGUCUCACAUCAGGCAUUGUGGCUAUUCAUUCUGGAUUCAAACUGUAACUCCUUUAUCAUUCUGGAGUGUGAACCGGUCACAUCCUGUUGAAAGCCUGGGACUGAAGGAUAAUCUGGCUAGUGAGACCGGCAGCAGAACAUCCCCUCUAAGGAUGUGUGCCUUGGACUCAUGUUCUGACGUGAUGAGUCUCCAAGUGGAAGAAACAGAUUCUGCUGCAGCUUUCACUAGGAGCUGCUUCAGGGCUUCUCCCAGAGCUAAAGAAAACUUCGAUAAAGCUCUACACAUUCAUCAACUCCACCUGAGGCCCUAAGUCCAGAACAGCAUCUUUUAACAAAAUAAGCAUGAAGGAUAGUAUUUAUCAGAUUAGCAGUAAAAUUUAACCCAAGUUUCUCUGCCAUGCAUCUAACACGCACUUCUGAGCAGUAUUCUUCCACGCACGACAGCUGCAGGACGGGGAAGAUUGAAGGCUCAAGAGCACUAUGAAGAGGCUGGUCUUAUAUACCACAGAAACUCACUUCAAGGACUGACCCCCACUAACCUACUCAAGAUCAAGGGAUAGGCCAUUCUCAACCCUAGAUUUGAACAAAUCGUAGCUAACACACACUUCUCCAACAGAUUUAUUUUGAAAGGAAUGGAUUUUGAGGAGAAAAUACAUGGGGAAGAGGUAUGGAAUAGAAAAUAAAUACAAAUGUAAGCUGUUUUGCUAAUUGUUUUAUAACCACAACAAAUUUGUACAGAGAAUGCCCUGUACAAAACAACACAAUAAAGGU
Ailuropoda melanoleuca (giant panda) is the source of this 1741-nucleotide RNA transcript. It is a transcript of the gene named coenzyme Q5, methyltransferase, with no coding region annotated. Lineage: Eukaryota; Metazoa; Chordata; Mammalia; Carnivora; Ursidae. The transcript is spliced from 8 exons. The record is from RefSeq and is a predicted model, not a curated record.